AGUGAACGCUGGCGGCGUGCUUAACACAUGCAAGUCGAACGAGAACGGGAUUAGCUUGCUAAUCUGUCAGCUAAGUGGCGCACGGGUGAGUAAUAUAUAGGUAACGUGCCUUCAAGAGGGGGAUAACAGAUGGAAACGUCUGCUAAAACCCCAUAUGCCUUUAAUGCGAAAGUAUGCAAGGGAAAUAUUUAUAGCUUGAAGAUCGGCCUGUACAGUAUCAGAUAGUUGGUGAGGUAAUAGCUCACCAAGUCAAUGACGCUUAACUGGUUUGAGAGGAUGAUCAGUCACACUGGAACUGAGACACGGUCCAGACUCCUACGGGAGGCAGCAGUGGGGAAUAUUGCACAAUGGGGGAAACCCUGAUGCAGCAACGCCGCGUGGAGGAUGACACAUUUCGGUGCGUAAACUCCUUUUAUAUAAGAAGAUAAUGACGGUAUUAUAUGAAUAAGCACCGGCUAACUCCGUG
Molecule: ribosomal RNA, 466 nt
Filed under: uncultured bacterium
Lineage: Bacteria
Description: bacterial SSU rRNA
Rfam family: Bacterial small subunit ribosomal RNA
Source: RNAcentral